Molecule: small nucleolar RNA, 130 nt
Organism: Nycticebus coucang (slow loris)
Lineage: Eukaryota; Metazoa; Chordata; Mammalia; Primates; Lorisidae
Product: small nucleolar RNA SNORA51
Exons: 1
Source: RefSeq, a predicted model, not a curated record
AACCUCCUGGUGCUUACCACAAGCUGUGUCCUUACACUUAUAGAAAGAGGAGGCAGAGUAAACCUACCCUAUGUAUACCCCAGCCCAGGCCCCAUGAAACCUGGUCUGUAUGGUGAAUGGGAGAACAUGG